This 502-nucleotide ribosomal RNA is filed under the name uncultured bacterium. RNAcentral describes it as "partial 16S ribosomal RNA". It matches the Rfam family "Bacterial small subunit ribosomal RNA", at positions 28 to 507 of the family's 1533-position model. The record is from RNAcentral.
GACGAACGCUGGCGGCGUGCCUAAUACAUGCAAGUCGAACGAACCGCGACUAGGUGCUUGCACUUGGUCAAGGUGAGUGGCGAACGGGUGAGUAACACGUGGGUAACCUACCUCAUAGUGGGGGAUAACAGUCGGAAACGACUGCUAAUACCGCAUAGGACAUAGGAUCACAUGAUCCAGUGAGGAAAGGUGGCGCAAGCUAUCGCUAAGAGAUGGACCCGCGGUGCAUUAGCUAGUUGGUAGGGUAAAGGCCUACCAAGGCGAUGAUGCAUAGCCGACCUGAGAGGGUGAUCGGCCACAUUGGGACUGAGACACGGCCCAAACUCCUACGGGAGGCAGCAGUGGGGAAUCUUCCGCAAUGGACGCAAGUCUGACGGAGCAACGCCGCGUGAGUGAAGAAGGUCUUCGGAUCGUAAAGCUCUGUUGUUAGAGAAGAACAGCGCAUAGAGUAACUGUUAUGCGUGUGACGGUAUCUAAACAGAAAGCCACGGCUAACUACGUG